GUCUUUUUGAGUUAUUUUUAAAGUCUGACCUGCCCACUGAAUAUUUUUAAAUGGCCGCAGUAUUCUAACUGUGCAAAGGUAGCAUAAUCAUUAGUCUUUUAAUUGAAGGCUGGUAUGAACGGUUGGACGAAGUAUAAGCUGUUUCAUAUAAAAUUAUAUUAGAAUUUUAUAUUUUAGUUAAAAAGCUAAAAUAUUAUUAAAAGACGAGAAGACCCUAUAAAUCUUUAUAUUUAAUAUUAUUCAAAUUUUUUUGAUUAAUUUUAUUUUUAUAAUAUUAAAUAUUUUGUUGGGGUGAUAUUAAAAUUUAACAAACUUUUAAUUUUGAAUUAGAACAUUAAUUUAUGAAUAGUUGAUCCAUUAUUAAUGAUUAUAAGAUUAAGUUACUUUAGGGAUAACAGCGUAAUUUUUUUUGAGAGUUCAUAUCGAUAAAAAAGUUUGCGACCUCGAUGUUGGAUUAAGAUAUAUAUUUAGGUGUAGCCGUUUAAAUAUUAAGUCUGUUCGACUUUUAAAUUCUUACAU
RNAcentral lists this ribosomal RNA (519 nucleotides) under Ceratitis rosa (Natal fruit fly). Its description in RNAcentral is "partial 16S ribosomal RNA". The stretch from base 391 to 519 matches the Rfam family "Bacterial large subunit ribosomal RNA", at positions 2473 to 2601 of the family's 2925-position model. Lineage: Eukaryota; Metazoa; Arthropoda; Insecta; Diptera; Tephritidae. The record is from RNAcentral.